GAUGAAGAACGUAGCGAAAUGCGAUAGUAGUGUGAAUUGCAGAAUUCAGUGAAUCAUCGAAUCUUUGAACGCACAUUGCGCCCUUUGGUAUUCCAAAGGGCAUGCCUGUUCGAGCGUCAUUUGUACCCUCAAGCUUUGCUUGGUGUUGGGCGUCUUGUCUCUAGCUUUGCUGGAGACUCGCCUUAAAGUAAUUGGCAGCCGGCCUACUGGUUUCGGAGCGCAGCACAAGUCGCACUCUCUAUCAGCAAAGGUCUAGCAUCCAUUAAGCCUUUUUUUCAACUUUUGACCUCGGAUCAGGUAGGGAUACCCGCUGAACUUAAGCAUAUCAAUAAGCGGAGGA
This 340-nucleotide unclassified non-coding RNA is filed under the name soil metagenome. RNAcentral's name for it is "partial contains 5.8S ribosomal RNA, internal transcribed spacer 2, and large subunit ribosomal RNA". The stretch from base 1 to 119 matches the Rfam family "5.8S ribosomal RNA", at positions 35 to 154 of the family's 154-position model. The record is from RNAcentral.